AUUGAACGCUGGCGGCAUGCUUUACACAUGCAAGUCGAACGGCAGCACGGGUGCUUGCACCUGGUGGCGAGUGGCGGACGGGUGAGUAAUACAUCGGAACGUAUCCUGAAGUGGGGGAUAACGCAUCGAAAGAUGUGCUAAUACCGCAUAUACUCUGAGGAGGAAAGUAGGGGAUCGAAAGACCUUAUGCUUUUGGAGCGGCCGAUGUCUGAUUAGCUAGUUGGUAAGGUAAUGGCUUACCAAGGCAACGAUCAGUAGUUGGUCUGAGAGGACGACCAGCCACACUGGGACUGAGACACGGCCCAGACUCCUACGGGAGGCAGCAGUGGGGAAUUUUGGACAAUGGGCGCAAGCCUGAUCCAGCAAUGCCGCGUGAGUGAAGAAGGCCUCGGUUGUAAGACUCUUUCAGUUGAGAAGAAAGAAUUGUAACUAAUAAUUAGUCAAUCCAUGACGGUAUCGACAGAAGAAGACACCGGCUAACUACGUG
This 487-nucleotide ribosomal RNA is filed under the name uncultured bacterium. RNAcentral's name for it is "bacterial SSU rRNA". It matches the Rfam family "Bacterial small subunit ribosomal RNA", at positions 30 to 507 of the family's 1533-position model. The record is from RNAcentral.